Phacochoerus africanus (Common warthog) is the source of this 468-nucleotide long non-coding RNA. RefSeq lists it as uncharacterized. Lineage: Eukaryota; Metazoa; Chordata; Mammalia; Artiodactyla; Suidae. The transcript is spliced from 3 exons. The record is from RefSeq and is a predicted model, not a curated record.
AGCAGGCAUGUUCCCAGUGGAACAGCCAUCUCUGGUCUUCCUGGGGGAGAUCCCUUACUACACCGUGUGGCACCCCGUGGGCUGUUUCUCCCCUUCCUCUCUCCUCCCCUGGCCCAGGCCACCCCAGGAAGUAAUUUGCUCCAACACUGCCUUGGGGUAAAGGAAAGAUCUGAAGGAUCUGGCUUCCUUGCGUGACCCCAGUCUGUGACACCCGCUGGACUCCGAACUGACCCCACCUCCUGGAGCUGAGAGCACUCCUUUUGGCUGACAGGAAGCAACCAGAAAAAGAGCCAGAUAGUGAGUGAGCAGAUGAGGAAAUCAGAAACCUGCACCUGCCAAUCCAGGAAUUCGUCCAACACACCUCAUAGAAGUGACACCUGGCUACCCAGAGCCGAUCAACUUAAACGGCUGGUUUUUGUCAUCGGACUUUGGAAAAGAACAUAAAAAAGAAGUGGCAUUUUAUAAACA